This 559-nucleotide ribosomal RNA is filed under the name uncultured bacterium. RNAcentral's name for it is "partial 16S ribosomal RNA". It matches the Rfam family "Bacterial small subunit ribosomal RNA", at positions 355 to 1383 of the family's 1533-position model. The record is from RNAcentral.
UGGGGAAUAUUGGACAAUGGGCGCAAGCCUGAUCCAGCCAUGCCGCGUGAGUGAUGAAGGCCCUAGGGUUGUAAAGCUCUUUCGCCAGGGACGAUAAUGACGGUACCUGGAUAAGAAGCCCCGGCUAACUUCGUGCCAGCAGCCGCGGUAAUACGAAGGGGGCUAGCGUUGUUCGGAAUCACUGGGCGUAAAGCGCACGUAGGCGGAUCUUUAAGUCAGGGGUGAAAUCCCGAGGCUCAACCUCGGAACUGCCUUUGAUACUGGAGGUCUCGAGUCCGGGAGAGGUGAGUGGAACUGCGAGUGUAGAGGUGAAAUUCGUAGAUAUUCGCAAGAACACCAGUGGCGAAGGCGGCUCACUGGCCCGAUACUGACGCUGAGGUGCGAAAGCGUGGGGAGCAAAACAGGAUUAGAUACCCUGGUAGUCCACGCCGUAAACGAUGGAUGCUAGCCGUUGGGGAGCUUGCUCUUCAGUGGCGCAGCUAACGCUUUAAGCAUCCCGCCUGGGGNGUACGGUCGCAGAUAAACUCAAAUGAAUUGACGGGGUUAUAGCUGUUUCCUG